Transfer RNA from Ovis aries (sheep), 73 nucleotides. It matches the Rfam family "tRNA". From Rfam's summary of the family: Transfer RNA (tRNA) molecules are approximately 80 nucleotides in length. Their secondary structure includes four short double-helical elements and three loops (D, anti-codon, and T loops). Further hydrogen bonds mediate the characteristic L-shaped molecular structure. tRNAs have two regions of fundamental functional importance: the anti-codon, which is responsible for specific mRNA codon recognition, and the 3' end, to which the tRNAs corresponding amino acid is attached (by aminoacyl-tRNA synthetases). tRNAs cope with the degeneracy of the genetic code in two manners: having more than one tRNA (with a specific anti-codon) for a particular amino acid; and 'wobble' base-pairing, i.e. permitting non-standard base-pairing at the 3rd anti-codon position. NCBI's taxonomy places the organism in Eukaryota, Metazoa, Chordata, Mammalia, Artiodactyla, Bovidae. The record is from Rfam.
UCCCUGGUGGUCCAAUGGCUAAGACUUUGGGCUCCCAAUGCAAGGGGCCUAGGUUCUAUCCUUGGUCAGGGAA